Oncorhynchus keta (chum salmon) is the source of this 296-nucleotide long non-coding RNA. RefSeq lists it as uncharacterized. The record is from RefSeq and is a predicted model, not a curated record. The transcript is spliced from 3 exons. NCBI's taxonomy places the organism in Eukaryota, Metazoa, Chordata, Actinopteri, Salmoniformes, Salmonidae.
CCCACCAGGAGGCUAACGGCACGGUGUGGUACCAGGUGGAGCGAAGGGAGGGACGCUGUGGAAACACUCUGGAGACCAACAGCACCCAUGCUGUCUACUCCAACAGCUUAUUUGUUUACCCAUUAAAUGCAAGAAACGAGUCUCUCUCCCAACCCCUGAGCAUUCCAUUCUCCUGUGCCUAUCCCCUGGAGACAGAGAGCAGCCUGGAUGUGGCCAUCAAACCCUACCUGCUGACGGAGGGUGGAGUUUCAGGUUUAGUGCCAAGGCCGAAUCCUUCAUGUCUCUGUAUCGAAACG